GGCGAACGGGUGAGUAACGCGUUGGUGACCUGCCCCGAAGAGGGGGACAACAGUUCGAAAGGACUGCUAAUACCCCAUGUGCUCGUUUAGAUUAGAAGCUUUAUGAGUAAAGGAGUAAUCCACUUCGGGAGGGGCCUGCGUCCCAUCAGCUAGUUGGUAGGGUAAUGGCCUGCCAAGGCAAUGACGGGUAGGGGACCUGAGAGGGUGACCCCCCACAGUGGAACUGAAACACGGUCCAU
Molecule: ribosomal RNA, 239 nt
Filed under: uncultured bacterium
Lineage: Bacteria
Description: partial 16S ribosomal RNA
Rfam family: Bacterial small subunit ribosomal RNA
Source: RNAcentral